CUUUCUUUCUUCUCGCGUGCAGGUUGAUGAAUGCAGGUGUUGACUUAUGUGUGUUGGUUCCUCGUUCCUCUUGUUGCUUGCUGCUGGGAGCCUCGUGAUCGUUUGUGGUCGGAGCUGCGGAUGAUUCUGCCCUCCAGAGGCUGCGCAAGCUGCCUUUUCUUCCAGGAUUUCUGGAUCAGCCCCUGCCGAGCAGCGUGCGCUGUCACUCCACUAGGAGCCUCUCCACCUCGUGGGCUGCCAUGACUGGGAUGCCUCUGGAGGCCAUUUGUGAAGCUGCUUCCUGGACGGCGCCAAGCACCUUUGCCAGGUUUUACAGGGUGAACGUCGCCACGCCGCAUCCCCUGCAGGGAAUACUGGAGCCUUUUGCGUCCCGCUGAGAGAGGCAGAAGCCUGAAGCCAGCUGACCUAAGGCACUGCAGCACGUGCAGGCUGGACCUUAGCAUCACUAAAUGUCACACAGUAUUACCUCACACUGGUGAGCAGCCUAAGAGAGGAUUUCUGCAGGGCGUGUUGGAGUGUGAGUCAUCAUCAGCGCAGAGAGAGAAAGUGGAGUGAGGGAUUCUUUACGUCGAAGAUGGUGCUUAUGGCAGCGAUGUGUGAAAUGAGUUCUGCAUCAACAUGGACUGAAAUGCCACUCAGAGAGGAACAACCCACAAGCAACAUUAAAGAUGGUGCUGGAGUUCCUGGGUGCGGUGGUGACAGGUGCGACUAAUCUACUGAUUACUUGGAGGUGUACUUAAGUGGGAAGCUGCCAGCAUUUCGUUGCCAGAGUGUUUGCCUUCAGUGGUUGCUUACCUGAACCCUUGGAUUUUUCUUGCUGAUGCCUGACUCUGCUCCCAGAAGUAUUUGGGUGAUCAGGAUUACCGACUUCUGGAGAAAGGUCUUCUAUUAUCGUGGGUUACGAUCCCAAACUCCUGUUUCUUCAUCUGGAAAAGAAUCAAGCUGGCAGCUUCCUGUUUUCCCGUAAUCCGGACCAAGGCAUAAGCAUACCCUGUCCACCCUCCAACCCAAGUAACUUAAUCCUGAACUCUUCACUGUUCUUCGCCCCACCCGACCCACCCCUGGCGGUUACAUUGCUCCUGCAUAGUAAGC
Long non-coding RNA from Girardinichthys multiradiatus, 1092 nucleotides. RefSeq lists it as uncharacterized. Lineage: Eukaryota; Metazoa; Chordata; Actinopteri; Cyprinodontiformes; Goodeidae. The transcript has 7 exons. The record is from RefSeq and is a predicted model, not a curated record.